UAAAAAUUAUAUCGUUUCACACAUAAUUUUUAGCUUUGGCGUCUUUGAAGCAGUAUCGGAUUUGCAACGGUCACUAUGUUUGCUGCUGAAGAAAUUCCCAGCCGUUUUCCGGGCAUAACAGAAGGAAGAGGAGUUUCAACGUUUUUUACUCCAACCAAUGAUUCUUGCAGCCACCGAAUAACCUGCUCCGGUCAAAUACUAUGAGGAAGAAGAUGAACCGCUUGCUCCGAAAUAGCCUUUGAAAGCUGCCAUGAUUGCCGUUCUUCGAGAGAAUCCGACUG
Molecule: long non-coding RNA, 281 nt
Organism: Aedes albopictus (Asian tiger mosquito)
Lineage: Eukaryota; Metazoa; Arthropoda; Insecta; Diptera; Culicidae
Exons: 2
Source: RefSeq, a predicted model, not a curated record